RNAcentral lists this ribosomal RNA (374 nucleotides) under uncultured organism. RNAcentral's name for it is "partial 16S ribosomal RNA". It matches the Rfam family "Bacterial small subunit ribosomal RNA", at positions 527 to 896 of the family's 1533-position model. The record is from RNAcentral.
GAACUGUGCAAACGUUAUUCGGAAUCACUGGGCUUAAAGGGUGCGUAGGCGGGUUAGUAGGGUCAGAUGUGAAAUCCCACGGGCUCAACCGUGGAACUGCGUUUGAAACCACUAGUCUUGAGGGGAUCAGAGGAGAGCGGAACUGAUGGUGGAGCGGUGAAAUGCGUUGAUAUUAUCAGGAACACCGGUGGCGAAGGCGGCUCUCUGGGAUCUUUCUGACGCUGAGGCACGAAAGCUAGGGGAGCGAACGGGAUUAGAUACCCCGGUAGUCCUAGCUGUAAACGAUCUGUACUAGUCCGUGGGGACCCCCACAUCUUCUCGGACGUAGCGAAAGUGUUAAGUACAGCGCCUGGGGAGUAUGGUCGCAAAGGCUG